UUUGUGGGGCUUUGUUCCAAGAAAGCAUAAGUUCAUCAUGUGUGAAGAUACUGAAAUUGUGGCCUUCUCCAAAGACUGUGGAUUCCUCCAAAACAAAGAUUGUUGCCCUUCUGCUCUCAUGUGCCUCCUGAUGCCCUAGAGAAAACAGAAUUUUUGUAUUUUCUUCUACUUAUUCGCUAUUCAUAAUUUGUCUGUGUGUGUGUGUGUGUGUGUGUGUGUGUGUGUGUUGUGAUGUUUUGAAUUACAUUUGGUAUGAGUUCAGAGGUUCGUAGUCCUUAGCAGUAAACACAAUAUAGUUUCCUAGAAAAGUUCCUGCUGGUUUUUUUGCUUCCUUUUGCCCUAUAGCCACGUGCUUUAUGUUCUGGCUCAAGAAGAAUUGUUGCUUGAGAUAGCUCAAUGAAUUAAAUUUUUUUUUUUUUUUUUCUUAAACACAAAUAUCCUUUAGAAUCACAGAAUCACAUUUGUGGUGUAUUGUAUUGUUCCUAGAAGACUGGAUUACAAAUCUACAAGUAUCACUAGCCAGGUAACAGAAGUGUUUGGAAAAUGCCCAACAACUUAAAAUCCCCCAGUUUAAUAGAUUGCAAAUUAGAGAAAAGAAUACAUUGAUCAAUCUUUGCAAAGAUUGGUGCUGAAUCUCUGCUGCUUUAUUACUCCCACAGAAUUAUUUCACAAGACAUCAGUCAGGGUGAUCUAUUCUUUGAAACAACAGGGCUCAUCCCUUAGCCUUAACAAUUAAACAAAAUCAAAAAGGGAGUCUGAGGUGGAACACCAAGGGCUGUUUCCUUCAGUUUUCUUCUCUCAUUCUUCUUCUGCUGUGUGAGACUCUGUGAUUAAAUUGCAGGCUUGGGAGUCUGACAAUUUGUGCUGCAUUCACAUUUCUGCCACAAAGUUGGCAUUGCAGGAUGUAUGGCUUAGCUCAUGGACAUUUUUUCUUAUAAAUAUGUGAACAUUACAAUGUUUGCAAUUGCAUAUCUAAAUUAUGCACAUAGACAUAACAGUGACCAUACACGUAAAUGAGAUAUUUGCAGAUGCAAAUAGCUACUUAUGCACAUAACAGGCCAACAGAAACACACAGUUGUUGUAAUUAUACUCAUAAAAUAUAUGAAUGAAUGAACAGGCACGUUAUGAAAAUCAGACUG
This 1139-nucleotide long non-coding RNA is filed under the name Cyanistes caeruleus (blue tit). RNAcentral's name for it is "lncRNA (ENSCCEG00000023489.1)". The record is from RNAcentral. Lineage: Eukaryota; Metazoa; Chordata; Aves; Passeriformes; Paridae.